UACGUAGGGGGCAAGCGUUGUCCGGAUUUAUUGGGCGUAAAGAGCUCGUAGGCGGUCUGUCGCGUCGGCUGUGAAAACUCGGGGGCUCAACCCCGAGCCUGCAGUCGAUACGGGCAGACUAGAGUGCUGUAGGGGAGACUGGAAUUCCUGGUGUAGCGGUGAAAUGCGCAGAUAUCAGGAGGAACACCGGUGGGCGAAGGCGGGGUCUCUGGGCAGUAACUGACGCUGGAGGAGCGAAAGCGUGGGGAGCGAACAGG
RNAcentral lists this ribosomal RNA (257 nucleotides) under uncultured bacterium. RNAcentral describes it as "partial 16S ribosomal RNA". It matches the Rfam family "Bacterial small subunit ribosomal RNA", at positions 524 to 776 of the family's 1533-position model. The record is from RNAcentral.